CACCCGAUCCCAUCCCGAACUCGGAAGUGAAACGCAGCUGCGCCGAUGGUAGUGUGGCUCAAGCCAUGCGAGAGUAGGUCAUCGCCAGGG
This 90-nucleotide ribosomal RNA is filed under the name Stenotrophomonas maltophilia. Lineage: Bacteria; Pseudomonadati; Pseudomonadota; Gammaproteobacteria; Lysobacterales; Lysobacteraceae. The record is from RNAcentral. RNAcentral also lists the same sequence under 2 other names.